GAUGAACGCUGGCGGCGUGCCUAAUACAUGCAAGUCGAGCGAACAGACGAGGAGCUUGCUCCUCUGACGUUAGCGGCGGACGGGUGAGUAACACGUGGAUAACCUACCUAUAAGACUGGGAUAACUUCGGGAAACCGGAGCUAAUACCGGAUAACAUGUUGAACCGCAUGGUUCAACAGUGAAAGACGGUCUUGCUGUCACUUAUAGAUGGAUCUGCGCCGCAUUAGCUAGUUGGUAAGGUAACGGCUUACCAAGGCAACGAUGCGUAGCCGACCUGAGAGGGUGAUCGGCCACACUGGAACUGAGACACGGUCCAGACUCCUACGGGAGGCAGCAGUAGGGAAUCUUCCGCAAUGGGCGAAAGCCUGACGGAGCAACGCCGCGUGAGUGAAGAAGGUCUUCGGAUCGUAAAACUCUGUUAUUAGGGAAGAACAAAUGUGUAAGUAACUAUGCACGUCUUGACGGUACCUAAUCAGAAAGCCACGGCUAACUACGUG
This 497-nucleotide ribosomal RNA is filed under the name uncultured bacterium. RNAcentral's name for it is "partial 16S ribosomal RNA". It matches the Rfam family "Bacterial small subunit ribosomal RNA", at positions 28 to 507 of the family's 1533-position model. The record is from RNAcentral.